This 483-nucleotide ribosomal RNA is filed under the name Omaspides bistriata. RNAcentral's name for it is "partial 12S small subunit ribosomal RNA". Lineage: Eukaryota; Metazoa; Arthropoda; Insecta; Coleoptera; Chrysomelidae. The record is from RNAcentral.
UCUAAUAGUGUUAAUGAAUUUUUUUGGUUUAGAUAAAAUGUUUAUUAAAUAGAAUUUAAUAUUUUUAGGUGAAAUUAUGAAUAUUUAAUAUAAAUAAAUAAAGUUGAGUUCUAUAAAUUAAAUGAUAAACUAGGAUUAGAUACCCUAUUAUUUUAACUUAAAUAAUUACCUUAUAAUUAAUAGUUAAGAUCUUUAAAAUAAUAAGAUUUGGCGGUAUUUUAUCUUAUUAGAGGAACCUGUUCUAUAAUUGAUAAUCCACACUUAAAUUUAUUAUUUUUUAAAUUUACAUAUCGUUGUUAAAAAUAUUUUUUUAGAAUAUAUUUGUUAUUUAAAUUAUAAAUUAAUUCAAAUCAAGGUGUAGUUUAUAAAAUAGAAGAAAUGGGUUACAUUAAUAUAAAUUGUGAAUUAUAAAAUUUAAUUUUAUAUGAAAUUGGAUUUAACAGUAAUUUUAUAUAUAUAUAUAAGUUGAAUGAGGUCUAAAAU